GGUAAGGGUGAAAAGGUGGGGUAAGAGCCCACCGCUUGCGUGGCGACACGCAAGGCACGGCAAACCCCUCCUGGAGCAAAACCAAAUAGGGAAGCGUUUGAGGGCGGCCCGCCCGAAGCUUCCGGGUAGGUUGCAAGAGAUGCCGGGCAACCGGCAUCCACAGAGAAAUGAUCAUGGCCCCUGCAAAGGGGUACAGAAUCCGGCUUACAGCCCACUCCCUUUU
This 223-nucleotide RNase P RNA is filed under the name Desulfurivibrionaceae bacterium. RNAcentral describes it as "partial RNase P RNA component class A". It matches the Rfam family "Bacterial RNase P class A", at positions 147 to 367 of the family's 367-position model. Rfam says of the family: Ribonuclease P (RNase P) is a ubiquitous endoribonuclease, found in archaea, bacteria and eukarya as well as chloroplasts and mitochondria. Its best characterised activity is the generation of mature 5'-ends of tRNAs by cleaving the 5'-leader elements of precursor-tRNAs. Lineage: Bacteria; Pseudomonadati; Thermodesulfobacteriota; Desulfobulbia; Desulfobulbales; Desulfurivibrionaceae. The record is from RNAcentral.